GCCUGUAGUCCCAAUUAUUUGGGAGGCUGAGAAAGGAGGAUCACUUGAACCCAGGAGUUCUGGGCUGUAGUGCACUAUGCCCAUUGGAUGCCUGCAAUAAGUUCAGCAUCAAUAUAUUGACCUCCUGGUAGACAGGGACCACCAGGUUGCCUAAGGAGGGAUAAACUGGCACAGGUUGGAAAUGGAGCAAGUCAAAACUCCUGCACUGAUGAGUGGUACGAUUGCACCUGUAAAUAGCCAAAGCAAUGUAGCCUGGACAGCAUAGCAAGACCCCAUCUCUU
This is an unclassified non-coding RNA of Pongo abelii (Sumatran orangutan), 281 nucleotides long. It matches the Rfam family "Metazoan signal recognition particle RNA". From Rfam's summary of the family: The signal recognition particle (SRP) is a universally conserved ribonucleoprotein. It is involved in the co-translational targeting of proteins to membranes. The record is from Ensembl. NCBI's taxonomy places the organism in Eukaryota, Metazoa, Chordata, Mammalia, Primates, Hominidae.